UCUGGAAGCUCCCCUGAAACCUGUCCACCCUGACUCACCCUGUUGGUAUUUGAAAUACGAUGCCAUAGCUUUCAGCAUCACAGCAACGUGCAGCAGCCUCAGUAUGACAACCAACAGACUGGUGAUGUGGUUCCCUGACCAGAAAACAAACUUGGGCCACAGCGGUGAGAGGACUGAAUCUUAACCACUAGACCCAGGGCUGGCUAAAGAAUAAGCUUUACCUGGCAACCACAGAGGAGAACGUCUUGCAAAGGAGGUGAUCACAGCCAGAUGUGCUCAACACAAGCGUGUGGCGAAGCCAGACACCAUGUAAGAAGUUUGACUACUCUACUGGGGAAACUGUGGAGAGCGGCCCUGAGACUCCACACAGAGGGAGAGGGGCCAGCUGAGCCCAGCCUUGAGCUGUUCCUGACAAGACACCAGACAUGGGAGAGAAAAAGCCAUCUUGGAUCCAGCCACCCCCGGUGACACCACACAGAUCCGAGAACUGCCCAGUUGAGCCUUCUUAA
Molecule: long non-coding RNA, 509 nt
Filed under: Equus asinus (donkey)
Lineage: Eukaryota; Metazoa; Chordata; Mammalia; Perissodactyla; Equidae
Description: lncRNA (ENSEASG00005034684.1)
Source: RNAcentral